This 501-nucleotide ribosomal RNA is filed under the name uncultured bacterium. Its description in RNAcentral is "bacterial SSU rRNA". It matches the Rfam family "Bacterial small subunit ribosomal RNA", at positions 26 to 507 of the family's 1533-position model. The record is from RNAcentral.
AGGAUGAACGCUGGCGGCGUGCAUAACACAUUCAAGUCGAACGGAGUUUAUGGAAGGAAGUCUUCGGAUGGAAUGAAGUAAACUUAGUGGCGGACGGGUGAGUAACGCGUGAGCAACCUGCCUUGGCAUGGGGGAUAACGUUUGGAAACGAACGUUAAUACCGCAUAAUGUAGCGAGGUCGCAUGGCUUUGCUACCAAAGGAUUUAUUCGCUGAAGGAUGGACUCGCGUACGAUUAGCUGGUUGGCGGGUAACGGCCCACCAAGGCGACGAUCGUUAGGGGUUCUGAGAGGAAGGUCCCCCACACUGGAACUGAGACACGGUCCAGACUCCUACGGGAGGCAGCAGUGAGGAAUAUUGGUCAAUGGGCGCGAGCCUGAACCAGCCAAGUAGCGUGAAGGAUGACUGCCCUACGGGUUGUAAACUUCUUUUGUUUGGGAAUAAAUGAUACUACGUGUAGUAUUUUGCAUGUACCUUACGAAUAAGCAUCGGCUAAUUCCGUG